UACGGAGGGGGCUAGCGUUAUUCGGAAUUACUGGGCGUAAAGCGCACGUAGGCGGAUUGAAAAGUCAGAGGUGAAAUCCCAGAGCUCAACUUUGGAACUGCCUUUGAAACUCUCAGUCUUGAGGUCGAGAGAGGUGAGUGGAAUUCCGAGUGUAGAGGUGAAAUUCGUAGAUAUUCGGAGGAACACCAGUGGCGAAGGCGGCUCACUGGCUCGAUACUGACGCUGAGGUGCGAAAGCGUGGGGAGCAAACAGG
This 253-nucleotide ribosomal RNA is filed under the name uncultured bacterium. RNAcentral's name for it is "partial 16S ribosomal RNA". It matches the Rfam family "Bacterial small subunit ribosomal RNA", at positions 524 to 776 of the family's 1533-position model. The record is from RNAcentral.